AAACAUUGCUGCACGUUUACAGUUUGCACAAGAGUACCUGGAUGUUCCACAGCAGUACUGGCAAAAUAUUCUGUGGACAGAUGAAACCAGUUGAGUUGUUUGGAAGAAACACACAACACUAUGUGUGGCGAAAAAAAGGCACAGCACACCAACAUCAAAACCUCAUCCCAACUGUGAAGUAUGGUGGUGGGGGCUUCAUGGUGUGGGACUGCUUUGCUGCAUCAGGGCCUAGACGGAUUGCUAUCAUCGAAGGAAAAAUUAAUUCCCAAGUUUAUCAAGACAUUUUGCAGGAGAACUUAAG
This 301-nucleotide long non-coding RNA is filed under the name Pelobates cultripes (western spadefoot toad). The record is from RNAcentral. Lineage: Eukaryota; Metazoa; Chordata; Amphibia; Anura; Pelobatidae.